GGGUCCAGGCCAGCUGCUAGACGUGGCUGCCGACGGCGCAGGCUCCCGUAAGCAAGGUGUGUGGUGCCUGCUAUCACAGGAGAAGGACAGGGGGUUUGGACGUGCGUAGUGCUGGACGUCCCGUAACUGGGAGGCCAGGUCCGCUGCCAUAGCCAGCCAGUCGGAGAGGUGCCCCUGUAAGCAGGGUGGACGUAGCCUCCUUGCGCUGGCGUGAGCGAGCCAGAGCAGUCUGCAGCGCAGUGCCACAGGGCAGCCUUGCAGACAGGAGCCGAGUCUCGUGGGGUGAUGGCAAACUCCUUAGACCCCAGAGCUGGAUGACCCUCCUGUGGCUGGGUUGAAGCUAGUGGCCUCCUCUCCGAUCCCUGUGUCCAGGCACCGGUCCUCCUUCCUGCAUCUAUGCCUGGCACUCCACAUCCGGAUGGCUGGGCCACCCUGUAAUGAGGGUGCGAGUCCCACGCCCCUGGUGGAGGGCUGGGGUCUGCAGAGCUGUGGACCACCCUGUAAGCAGGGUCCAGGUCUCACUGUGCCUCUGGGGACAGCUCUGUCCUUUGCCUGGCUAUCAGCUCUCCCUGUAAGCAGGGCUGUAGGCCUUUCCCUUUUGCCCCUUGUGGGCAGUGUGACUAGUCAGGCAGGCCGGGCCCUGUAAGGCGGGUGCCGGUCUCAGCCUUCUUGCCCCCUGGAAGCGGAGGAGGAUUUUCCCGUGGAAGGCUGGAGGUGAAGCGGUUUGCGGCAUGGAGCUCCUUUCCAGCCUGGGAACAGUCUUUUUACCCGUGUGAGAGUGUGGAUGACGAGAGAGAGGAGUGCCUGGGAACAAAAGCAUUUAUUUUCUUUAUGUUCUUAAAAUCGCUGCAGCGUACUUUGUUUUCUUCCCAGUGCUGGAAAAGGGGUGAGAUGCGUCCUCGUUGCCUUCUCCUCCCACCUCUUCCCCUAGGGGGUUAAGCACUGCUAUUAAUUCUUGUGCCUUCUGGCCUGGGGGUGCAUUAGGCCACCCCUAAUCACUUUGGAAAAAAGACCUCAGUGUAUCUCAGGGUAGGGGCCUCCUUUUGUUGGGUGACUAGCAUGUUCUUGUGGUCACUCAGUAGCUCGCAUGAAGGGUUACUGCCGUCAUUUUUGAGAGCAGGCUAUGUAUUCCAUCCCCAAGUCCUUGGCGAGACGAGCGCCCUGGCACUUGGCCGGCUGUUUUUCGGCACCCCCACGCCCGGCCUGCAGCCUGUAAGCAGGGUGCAGGUCCCUUUGAUUCUCUACUUCUCGUUCCACUUGGAGAGGCCAGCCAGAGAUGAUACCCACGGAUUGCAGGAAAAGUUGCAGGCUUCUGGAAGAUACUGAGUGUGUUGGGACCCCAAGGCUUCCUGACCUUCCUGUAACUUGGGUCCAGGUCUCUGCUCCUCUGCUCUGCUGCUCCUGGCGCUAUUGAGACGGCCUCCCGCGGCACCCUGUAAGCAGGGCUGCGCCCCCACCCCUUCUGGCCGUGGGGGGAAGAGACAUUGUUUAGACCUUUGGCCUCCGUUGGUUCUGUGAUGGGAGCCUGAAGUUGUGGCCCUCUUGUGCUCUGGACACACGGGGCAGCUUUGACCCCUGAUCGAGACCUCCCGAUGCAGCUGUCAGCUGACAUUCGGGGCUUUGCAGGUUGUCUCCGGGCUUCAUACCCCAGCAGCCAGCUGUGUGCAGGGAGCACCGCCCUGUAAGCAGGGUUGCCGGUGCUUGCGGUCACCGUUCAUGGUGCCGCCCGAGCAGUUCUGUCCGGAGUUCUGGCCCAUCGCACUCUGCUCCUGGCUGGAUGUCAGAGGCCGAACCUGCAGACGUCUGCUCUUCCCACUUUGCACGGACUGACGAUGGAGUGGCAGCAGGUCCAUUCACAGGCCCCAGAAGGAGAAGCAGGGAAAUGGCAGACGAGCAGGAGUUAGCCACCAAGGAGGGAAGAGACCCACGUCAGCCCACCCGGAGGGAAGGUAAAGGAGUUCGAACACAGUGUCUGUCCUCUCUGCAAGUUGCAUCCCCAAGUUGCCGACCUUGUGAUGAACAUGUCGUGGAAGGUUUGGAGCAGUGGGACCCCCUUAUACACAGGAUUCGUGCCUUAGGUCCUCCUGUUGUCAUACACGGGUCCCUGAAGGGCAGCUGGACAAGAGCGAACGGAAGCAGGAAAAGAAGCUGGGGAACAAAU
Molecule: long non-coding RNA, 2161 nt
Organism: Alligator mississippiensis (American alligator)
Lineage: Eukaryota; Metazoa; Chordata; Crocodylia; Alligatoridae
Exons: 3
Source: RefSeq, a predicted model, not a curated record